RNAcentral lists this transfer RNA (64 nucleotides) under Choroterpides apiculata (nomen nudum). RNAcentral describes it as "tRNA-Leu". Lineage: Eukaryota; Metazoa; Arthropoda; Insecta; Diptera; Culicidae. The record is from RNAcentral.
UCUAAUAUGGCAGAUUAGUGCAACGGGUUUAAGCCUCGUAUAUGAAGAACUUCUUCUAUUAGAA